RNAcentral lists this unclassified non-coding RNA (340 nucleotides) under uncultured fungus. RNAcentral's name for it is "partial contains 5.8S ribosomal RNA and internal transcribed spacer 2". The stretch from base 1 to 133 matches the Rfam family "5.8S ribosomal RNA", at positions 22 to 154 of the family's 154-position model. The record is from RNAcentral. Lineage: Eukaryota; Fungi.
UGGUUCUGGCAUCGAUGAAGAACGCAGCGAAAUGCGAUAAGUAAUGUGAAUUGCAGAAUUCAGUGAAUCAUCGAAUCUUUGAACGCACAUUGCGCCCGCCAGUAUUCUGGCGGGCAUGCCUGUUCGAGCGUCAUUUCAACCCUCAAGCCCCCGGGCUUGGUGUUGGGGAUCGGCAUCAGCGCACCCUCGGGCGCGCCGCCGUCCCCUAAAUUCAGUGGCGGUCUCGCUGCAGCUUCCCUUGCGUAGUAGCACACCUCGCACCGGAGAGCAGCGCGGCCACGCCGUUAAACCCCCCACUUUCUGAAAGGUUGACCUCGAAUCAGGUAGGACUACCCGCUGA